CUUUUAGUCUUCACAGUAAUCCUAUAUCAUGAUGACCCCCAUUUAUUGAUAUGGAAACUGAAGCUCAGGAAAGACAAAGCAAUUUUUACAAACUCACACUACAAGGAAGUAGCAGAGGCCAACAUUUAAAUCUGGCCCCAGAGUUGUGUUCUUCUCAUUAAACUGUGUCUCAGAUCUCUCAAAGGUAACGCAGCUGUUGAAGUGAGAUCCUACACUGGAACAUACAACACUUGGUCUAAUAUUAAAGUUCGUGCCAAGAGCUCUCUAAAUGUGAUUGAUGGAUUAAUUCUGCCUUUAUGAAAGAUGAACUUAUUUUCAAGAUAAUAGCUAAUUCUUGAAUGGGCAACCUAUUAUGUAUCAAUGAUUGUAAUGAUGGAGCAUUUUAGUCAUUUGUAGCUGGAAGAGCCUUAGAGAUUAUCUGGUUCAACCUAUUCAAGAGUUAGG
This 444-nucleotide long non-coding RNA is filed under the name Homo sapiens (human). Its description in RNAcentral is "HSALNT0044326". The record is from RNAcentral. Lineage: Eukaryota; Metazoa; Chordata; Mammalia; Primates; Hominidae.